AUGUGAAGAACAGUGUUUCUCUCCUACAGAGGAUGCCGUGUCCAAGGCAUCAUCUAUGAAUGGAGACAGCCUUUACCAGACACCAAACCUACCAGCACCAUGGUCUUGAACUUUCCAGCCUCCUGAACUAUGGCAUACUGCUCUGUUGCCCAGGUUAGAGUGCAGUGGCUUGAUCAUAGCUCACUGCAGCCUUGAGCUCCUAGGCUCAAGCAGUCCUCUUGCCUCAGCCUCCUGAAUAGCUGGGACUACAGGUUCUAUUCUGAGGUACUAAGGUUAAGACCUCAACAUAUGAAUUCUGGAGGACACAAUUCAACCCAGAAGUCUACCUUGUAUUGGGUCCUCACGGCAAGGCUGCAAACCCUCGGAGGUUGGUAGCCCAGUCCCACCUCCCAUGAGCUAAUGAAUGUGGGGCUCAGGGAGGACUGACAGGACUAGAGUUGACAACCAUUCAUCCAACAAACAUUUACUGCAUGAGGAAGAGAGGUGAUCAAGGCACUGCCCUUGUCCCCAGGAAGCUCGCCAGUGCAUGGGACUGUGCAGGUGUCUUCACCUCUGGAUUAGGCAUUCGAUGUCAGGCCACGGCUGAGCAUCCAUCCUCUCUAUGCUAAUUUUUUCCAAAAGUCAAGAGUUUGGAAGAACACUAAUGUGUUUUUCUUCCAGCCUUUCCUACACAAAUGACAACAUCAUUACCCUCAGCUUUUAAAGUGCAAGUCUGUACAGAGAUCCCAGAGUCAAGGAGGGCGCCUGAGUCAUUUGAAAUAAUUACCUUUUUUUUUCCUGCCUGAGUCUUGCAUAUCUGUGAAUCAGCAAUGUGGAAACUGGGCUUCAAAAAAAUUAAGGGAGGCUUAAAGUGAGCAAAGCAGAGAAGAGCACUGGCAAGAGCUGAGCGCUGCCACAGCAGGAUCAUCAUGCCGAUCGUCAUCUAAGGGAGCUCAUGGUGCUGUCUGCCUCCUCUUAGCAACAUCCACACAGGCUGGUACAGUCAGAUCAUUGUGACUUGGACAGGGAUGAAAAUACUCAGCUGACACCAAUAGCUCCCAGCACAGCCAGGGUAUUCUAGAGGUGUGUGGUGUCAGGACAGCCUGUGCGGCCUCAUUUAUUUACCUGAGUCAUCUGAACAAAGCGGUGACUGGCUUUGCCUCACUCUGGCAAGAACUCGCAACAAAGCCAAAGCCUCUUCCUCCACGGCCUUUGCUCCUGCAGCACAAAACUGGCAUCUUUUUAGCAUCAUAGACACUGUCACGUGGCAAUCAAUGACAGAUUGCCCUUGUCCCAUUGAAGGGACAGGGAAGGAACUGUCCCUUCCCUGGGCCACAAGCUCUUCAAGGCGGGAGCCUCAGCCCAGUUUCUUCCAUGUCUCCAGCGUCCAGCACAGGGCCUGGAUUCUAGCUGGUUUCUGAUGAAUAAAAGAAUGGCUAUAGAGAUGUACUCUUCGAAACACAAGGGGCUUUUAUAGUGGCAACAUGUUCAAUAUCUCAGUACUGUAUUGGUUCUUUACAGCUUGCAGGACCCAAAGAAGGAAUGAUUUUUGUUUCCCGGGAAAGGUGUACCUCGUGGGGGCACUGCUUAAGGGAAGGUGCCCAUGGGCAUCAAGGGAGGCACAGGUUGAUCAAGGCCCCUGGAAUUGAAAUGGAGGUGUUCAUCCUGCGGAGGCUCCGAACAUCUGAGGCAGAGCCUCGAUUCUCCAGGAAAUUGACUUUGCCGGAGAACAAGGCUGGGGGAGGCAGGCUGUCCUAGGGGAGGAGUCGUAUUUCAGCCCCACUGAGACCCCAAAGGUGCACUCCCAUGCUUUACCCCGACUGUCCACCAGGGGGCAGGCAGAGGCAAGAGAAGAGGAAAGCGGGCGGCUGGUCAGGCCCAGCACAUCCAGCCUGGCAUCCCACACGCUGGGCUGCCUGACUCAGACAAAGCCAGGCCGCUCCUCCUGCCUGUUGUGGCCUCUGUGAUUUUAUAUGGUUUGGCCUGUGACAUCAGACACCACGCGACCAUGGUAACCAAAGUAUACAGCCUGGAGUGAAUGUUAAUAAACAGGAAAGAAACGA
Molecule: long non-coding RNA, 2042 nt
Filed under: Pongo abelii (Sumatran orangutan)
Lineage: Eukaryota; Metazoa; Chordata; Mammalia; Primates; Hominidae
Description: lincRNA
Source: RNAcentral